AUUGAAUGAGUUUGAUCAUGGCUCAGAUUGAACGCUGGCGGCAGGCCUAACACAUGCAAGUCGAGCGGAAACGAGUUAUCUGAACCUUCGGGGAACGGAUAACGGCGUCGAGCGGCGGACGGGUGAGUAAUGCCUAGGAAAUUGCCCUGAUGUGGGGGAUAACCAUUGGAAACGAUGGCUAAUACCGCAUGAUGCCUACGGGCCAAAGAGGGGGACCUUCGGGCCUCUCGCGUCAGGAUAUGCCUAGGUGGGAUUAGCUAGUUGGUGAGGUAAGGGCUCACCAAGGCGACGAUCCCUAGCUGGUCUGAGAGGAUGAUCAGCCACACUGGAACUGAGACACGGUCCAGACUCCUACGGGAGGCAGCAGUGGGGAAUAUUGCACAAUGGGCGCAAGCCUGAUGCAGCCAUGCCGCGUGUAUGAAGAAGGCCUUCGGGUUGUAAAGCACUUUCAGUCGUGAGGAAGGUAGUGUAGUUAAUAGCUGCAUUAUUUGACGUUAGCGACAGAAGAAGCACCGGCUAACUCCGUGCCAGCAGCCGCGGUAAUACGGAGGGUGCGAGCGUUAAUCGGAAUUACUGGGCGUAAAGCGCAUGCAGGUGGUUUGUUAAGUCAGAUGUGAAAGCCCGGGGCUCAACCUCGGAAUAGCAUUUGAAACUGGCAGACUAGAGUACUGUAGAGGGGGGUAGAAUUUCAGGUGUAGCGGUGAAAUGCGUAGAGAUCUGAAGGAAUACCGGUGGCGAAGGCGGCCUCCCUGGACAGAUACUGACACUCAGAUGCGAAAGCGUGGGGAGCAAACAGGAUUAGAUACCCUGGUAGUCCACGCCGUAAACGAUGUCUACUUGGAGGUUGUGGCCUUGAGCCGUGGCUUUCGGAGCUAACGCGUUAAGUAGACCGCCUGGGGAGUACGGUCGCAAGAUUAAAACUCAAAUGAAUUGACGGGGGNCCGCACAAGCGGUGGAGCAUGUGGUUUAAUUCGAUGCAACGCGAAGAACCUUACCUACUCUUGACAUCCAGAGAACUUUCCAGAGAUGGAUUGGUGCCUUCGGGAACUCUGAGACAGGUGCUGCAUGGCUGUCGUCAGCUCGUGUUGUGAAAUGUUGGGUUAAGUCCCGCAACGAGCGCAACCCUUAUCCUUGUUUGCCAGCGAGUAAUGUCGGGAACUCCAGGGAGACUGCCGGUGAUAAACCGGAGGAAGGUGGGGACGACGUCAAGUCAUCAUGGCCCUUACGAGUAGGGCUACACACGUGCUACAAUGGCGCAUACAGAGGGCAGCCAACUUGCGAAAGUGAGCGAAUCCCAAAAAGUGCGUCGUAGUCCGGAUUGGAGUCUGCAACUCGACUCCAUGAAGUCGGAAUCGCUAGUAAUCGUGGAUCAGAAUGCCACGGUGAAUACGUUCCCGGGCCUUGUACACACCGCCCGUCACACCAUGGGAGUGGGCUGCNAAAGAAGUAGGUAGUUUCAACUACGGGGGGACGC
Molecule: ribosomal RNA, 1474 nt
Filed under: Vibrio parahaemolyticus
Lineage: Bacteria; Pseudomonadati; Pseudomonadota; Gammaproteobacteria; Vibrionales; Vibrionaceae
Description: bacterial SSU rRNA
Rfam family: Bacterial small subunit ribosomal RNA
Source: RNAcentral